RNAcentral lists this ribosomal RNA (229 nucleotides) under uncultured bacterium. RNAcentral describes it as "partial 16S ribosomal RNA". It matches the Rfam family "Bacterial small subunit ribosomal RNA", at positions 568 to 796 of the family's 1533-position model. The record is from RNAcentral.
UCCGCAGGGGGUUUGUCAAGUCUGAUGUGAAAUCUCGAGGCUUAACCUCGAAACUGCAUUGGAAACUGGCAGACUAGAGUAUCGGAGAGGAGAGUGGAAUUCCUGGUGUAGCGGUGGAAUGCGUAGAUAUCAGGAAGAACACCAACAGCGAAGGCAGCUCUCUGGACGAUUACUGACCCUCAUGGACGAAAGCGUGGGUAGCAAACAGGAUUAGAUACCCUGGUAGUCC